GGGCUGGCAAUAUAGCUCAGCGGUUCCUUCACAUGCUUUCUGGUUUCAGAAUAAUCCUUUUGGGGGUUCAAAACCCGCGGGUGCUAUCCAGCCUUUUU
This is a vault RNA of Xenopus tropicalis (tropical clawed frog), 98 nucleotides long. Its record names the gene Vault. It matches the Rfam family "Vault RNA". Rfam says of the family: This family of RNAs are found as part of the enigmatic vault ribonucleoprotein complex. The complex consists of a major vault protein (MVP), two minor vault proteins (VPARP and TEP1), and several small untranslated RNA molecules. Lineage: Eukaryota; Metazoa; Chordata; Amphibia; Anura; Pipidae. The record is from Ensembl.